RNAcentral lists this ribosomal RNA (2906 nucleotides) under Klebsiella michiganensis. Its description in RNAcentral is "23S ribosomal RNA". It matches the Rfam family "Bacterial large subunit ribosomal RNA". Lineage: Bacteria; Pseudomonadati; Pseudomonadota; Gammaproteobacteria; Enterobacterales; Enterobacteriaceae. The record is from RNAcentral.
GGUUAAGCGACUAAGCGUACACGGUGGAUGCCCUGGCAGUCAGAGGCGAUGAAGGACGUGCUAAUCUGCGAAAAGCGUCGGUAAGGUGAUAUGAACCGUUACAGCCGGCGAUGUCCGAAUGGGGAAACCCAGUGCAAUUCGUUGCACUAUCGUUAACUGAAUACAUAGGUUAACGAGGCGAACCGGGGGAACUGAAACAUCUAAGUACCCCGAGGAAAAGAAAUCAACCGAGAUUCCCCCAGUAGCGGCGAGCGAACGGGGAGCAGCCCGGAGUCUGAAUCAGCUUGUGUGUUAGUGGAAGCGUCUGGAAAGUCGCAGGGUACAGGGUGAUACUCCCGUACACUAAAACGCACAGGUUGUGAACUCGAAGAGUAGGGCGGGACACGUGGUAUCCUGUCUGAAUAUGGGGGGACCAUCCUCCAAGGCUAAAUACUCCUGACUGACCGAUAGUGAACCAGUACCGUGAGGGAAAGGCGAAAAGAACCCCGGCGAGGGGAGUGAAAAAGAACCUGAAACCGUGUACGUACAAGCAGUAGGAGCCCACUAGUUGGGUGACUGCGUACCUUUUGUAUAAUGGGUCAGCGACUUAUAUUCUGUAGCAAGGUUAACCGUAUAGGGGAGCCGCAGGGAAACCGAGUCUUAACUGGGCGUUAAGUUGCAGGGUAUAGACCCGAAACCCGGUGAUCUAGCCAUGGGCAGGUUGAAGGUUGGGUAACACUAACUGGAGGACCGAACCGACUAAUGUUGAAAAAUUAGCGGAUGACUUGUGGCUGGGGGUGAAAGGCCAAUCAAACCGGGAGAUAGCUGGUUCUCCCCGAAAGCUAUUUAGGUAGCGCCUCGUGAACUCAUCUUCGGGGGUAGAGCACUGUUUCGGCUAGGGGGUCAUCCCGACUUACCAACCCGAUGCAAACUACGAAUACCGAAGAAUGUUAUCACGGGAGACACACGGCGGGUGCUAACGUCCGUCGUGAAGAGGGAAACAACCCAGACCGCCAGCUAAGGUCCCAAAGUCAUGGUUAAGUGGGAAACGAUGUGGGAAGGCCCAGACAGCCAGGAUGUUGGCUUAGAAGCAGCCAUCAUUUAAAGAAAGCGUAAUAGCUCACUGGUCGAGUCGGCCUGCGCGGAAGAUGUAACGGGGCUAAACCAUGCACCGAAGCUGCGGCAGCGACACUAUGUGUUGUUGGGUAGGGGAGCGUUCUGUAAGCCGUUGAAGGUGGCCUGUGAGGGUUGCUGGAGGUAUCAGAAGUGCGAAUGCUGACAUAAGUAACGAUAAUGCGGGUGAAAAACCCGCACGCCGGAAGACCAAGGGUUCCUGUCCAACGUUAAUCGGGGCAGGGUGAGUCGACCCCUAAGGCGAGGCCGAAAGGCGUAGUCGAUGGGAAACAGGUUAAUAUUCCUGUACUCGGUGUUACUGCGAAGGGGGGACGGAGAAGGCUAUGUUGGCCGGGCGACGGUUGUCCCGGUUUAAGCAUGUAGGCGGAUGUUCCAGGUAAAUCCGGAACGUUAUCAACGCUGAGGUGUGAUGACGAGGCACUACGGUGCUGAAGUGACAAAUGCCCUGCUUCCAGGAAAAGCCUCUAAGCAUCAGGUAACAUCAAAUCGUACCCCAAACCGACACAGGUGGUCAGGUAGAGAAUACCAAGGCGCUUGAGAGAACUCGGGUGAAGGAACUAGGCAAAAUGGUGCCGUAACUUCGGGAGAAGGCACGCUGAUGGUAAGUGAAGUGACUUGCUCAUGGAGCUGAAAUCAGUCGAAGAUACCAGCUGGCUGCAACUGUUUAUUAAAAACACAGCACUGUGCAAACACGAAAGUGGACGUAUACGGUGUGACGCCUGCCCGGUGCCGGAAGGUUAAUUGAUGGGGUUAUCCGUAAGGAGAAGCUCUUGAUCGAAGCCCCGGUAAACGGCGGCCGUAACUAUAACGGUCCUAAGGUAGCGAAAUUCCUUGUCGGGUAAGUUCCGACCUGCACGAAUGGCGUAAUGAUGGCCAGGCUGUCUCCACCCGAGACUCAGUGAAAUUGAACUCGCUGUGAAGAUGCAGUGUACCCGCGGCAAGACGGAAAGACCCCGUGAACCUUUACUAUAGCUUGACACUGAACACUGGUCCUUGAUGUGUAGGAUAGGUGGGAGGCUUUGAAGUGUGGACGCCAGUCUGCAUGGAGCCAUCCUUGAAAUACCACCCUUUAAUGGCUGGUGUUCUAACGUGGGCCCCUAAUCGGGGUUGCGGACAGUGUCUGGUGGGUAGUUUGACUGGGGCGGUCUCCUCCUAAAGAGUAACGGAGGAGCACGAAGGUCAGCUAAUCCUGGUCGGACAUCAGGAGGUUAGUGCAAUGGCAUAAGCUGGCUUGACUGCGAGCGUGACGGCGCGAGCAGGUGCGAAAGCAGGUCAUAGUGAUCCGGUGGUUCUGAAUGGAAGGGCCAUCGCUCAACGGAUAAAAGGUACUCCGGGGAUAACAGGCUGAUACCGCCCAAGAGUUCAUAUCGACGGCGGUGUUUGGCACCUCGAUGUCGGCUCAUCACAUCCUGGGGCUGAAGUAGGUCCCAAGGGUAUGGCUGUUCGCCAUUUAAAGUGGUACGCGAGCUGGGUUUAGAACGUCGUGAGACAGUUCGGUCCCUAUCUGCCGUGGGCGCUGGAGAAUUGAGGGGGGCUGCUCCUAGUACGAGAGGACCGGAGUGGACGCAUCACUGGUGUUCGGGUUGUCAUGCCAAUGGCAUUGCCCGGUAGCUAAAUGCGGAAGAGAUAAGUGCUGAAAGCAUCUAAGCACGAAACUUGCCCCGAGAUGAGUUCUCCCUGACCCUUUAAGGGUCCUGAAGGAACGUUGAAGACGACGACGUUGAUAGGCCGGGUGUGUAAGCGCAGCGAUGCGUUGAGCUAACCGGUACUAAUGAACCGUGAGGCUUAACCUU